Molecule: ribosomal RNA, 254 nt
Filed under: uncultured bacterium
Lineage: Bacteria
Description: partial 16S ribosomal RNA
Rfam family: Bacterial small subunit ribosomal RNA
Source: RNAcentral
UACGUAGGGUGCGAGCGUUGUCCGGAAUUAUUGGGCGUAAAGAGCUCGUAGGUGGUUUGUCGCGUCUGCCGUGAAAACCCGAGGCUUAACCUCGUGGCUUGCGGUGGAUACGGGCAGACUAGAGGUAGGUAGGGGAGAACGGAAUUCCCGGUGUAGCGGUGAAAUGCGCAGAUAUCGGGAGGAACACCUGUGGCGAAAGCGGCUCACUGGACCACAACUGACGCUGAGGCGCGAAAGCUAGGGGAGCAAACAGG